This 391-nucleotide ribosomal RNA is filed under the name uncultured Synurales. RNAcentral's name for it is "partial small subunit ribosomal RNA". It matches the Rfam family "Eukaryotic small subunit ribosomal RNA", at positions 30 to 432 of the family's 1831-position model. The record is from RNAcentral. Lineage: Eukaryota; Synurophyceae; Synurales.
GCUUGUCUCAAAGAUUAAGCCAUGCACGUCUAAGUAUAAGCGAUUAUACUGUGAAACUGCGAAUGGCUCAUUAUAUCAGUUAUAGUUUAUUUGAUGGUCCUUGCUACUUGGAUAACCGUAGUAAUUCUAGAGCUAAUACAUGCAUAAAUCCCCGACUGCUUGGAAGGGGUGUAUUUAUUAGAUGGAAACCAAUUCGGGGUAACCCGGUUUAUGGUGAUUCAUAAUAACUUUCGGAUCGACGCAAGUCGAUGCAUCAUUCAAGUUUCUGCCCUAUCAGUUGUGGAUGGUAGGAUAUGGGCCUACCAUGGCGUUAACGGGUAACGGGGAAUUAGGGUUUGAUUCCGGAGAGGGAGCCUUAGAAACGGCUACCACAUCCAAGGAAGGCAGCAGG